This 68-nucleotide transfer RNA is filed under the name Sphaerodactylus townsendi. RNAcentral's name for it is "tRNA-Ala". The record is from RNAcentral. Lineage: Eukaryota; Metazoa; Chordata; Lepidosauria; Squamata; Sphaerodactylidae.
CCAUGGCUCAGUGGUAGAGCAUCUCCUUUGCAUACAAGAGAUUCCAGGUUCAAUCCCCCGUUGAACGG